UCUGAUUAGCUAGUUGGUGGGGUAAAAGCCUACCAAGGCGACGAUCAGUAGCUGGUCUGAGAGGACGAUCAGCCACACUGGGACUGAGACACGGCCCAGACUCCUACGGGAGGCAGCAGUGGGGAAUUUUCCGCAAUGGGCGAAAGCCUGACGGAGCAAUACCGCGUGAGGGAGGAAGGCUCUUGGGUUGUAAACCUCUUUUCUCAGGGAAGAAAAAAAUGACGGUACCUGAGGAAUAAGCAUCGGCUAACUCCGUGCCAGCAGCCGCGGUAAUACGGAGGAUGCAAGCGUUAUCCGGAAUGAUUGGGCGUAAAGCGUCCGCAGGUGGCAUUGCAAGUCUGCUGUCAAAGCUCAGGGCUUAACCCUGAAAAGGCAGUGGAAACUGAAAUGCUCGAGUGCGGUAGGGGUAGAGGGAAUUCCCGGUGUAGCGGUGAAAUGCGUAGAGAUCGGGAAGAACACCAGUGGCGAAGGCGCUCUACUAGACCGCAACUGACACUAAUGGACGAAAGCUAGGGGAGCGAAUGGGAUUAGAUACCCCAGUAGUCCUAGCUGU
Molecule: ribosomal RNA, 553 nt
Filed under: uncultured cyanobacterium
Lineage: Bacteria; Bacillati; Cyanobacteriota
Description: bacterial SSU rRNA
Rfam family: Bacterial small subunit ribosomal RNA
Source: RNAcentral